UCCUCUUGCGUCUGUUUUGUUACUGGUU
RNAcentral lists this non-coding RNA (28 nucleotides) under Mus musculus (house mouse). The record is from RNAcentral. Lineage: Eukaryota; Metazoa; Chordata; Mammalia; Rodentia; Muridae.